Long non-coding RNA from Heterocephalus glaber (naked mole-rat), 327 nucleotides. Lineage: Eukaryota; Metazoa; Chordata; Mammalia; Rodentia; Bathyergidae. The record is from Ensembl.
CUCUGGGCCUGUUAGGCUGAUGUAUAUAAACUCAUAUCACACAGAGGAGGUGAACAAAUCCCAGCACCCAGGAAGAGGCUCCCCCACCACCAUUCCACCCCUCCUAGGGCAGAGGAGGUGAGCCAAUCCCAGUGCCCAGGAAGAGGAUCUCCAGCACCAUUCCACUGCUCCUAGGGCAGAGGAGUCUUUUGCUAGGGAUCUUCAUGGACAGAACCCAGUCAGAAGUCUGAGAGUGAGCAGUUCAGAAGCAGUUAAAAUCCGAAAUGUCCAGGAAGCAUCUUGACAGCUAAAUAAUAAAAGCCACAAUUGUGUCCUCUGGUAGAAGCA